GAUUGGGUUUGAUCCUGGCUCAGAACGAACGCUGGCGGCAGGCCUAACACAUGCAAGUCGAGCGCUACCUUCGGGUGGAGCGGCGGACGGGUUAGUAACGCGUGGGAAUAUACCCUUCACUAUGGAAUAGCCUCGGGAAACUGAGAGUAAUACCAUAUACGCCCUUCGGGGGAAAGAUUUAUCGGUGAAGGAUUAGCCCGCGUAAGAUUAGAUAGUUGGUGGGGUAAUGGCCUACCAAGUCUACGAUCUUUAGCUGGUUUUAGAGGAUGAUCAGCAUCUCUGGGACUGAGUACUCGGCCCAAACUCCUACGGGCAGGUAGCUUUGGCGCGUCUCUACACAUGCGUCGAAAAR
RNAcentral lists this ribosomal RNA (352 nucleotides) under uncultured Roseobacter sp. RNAcentral's name for it is "bacterial SSU rRNA". It matches the Rfam family "Bacterial small subunit ribosomal RNA", at positions 1 to 382 of the family's 1533-position model. The record is from RNAcentral. Lineage: Bacteria; Pseudomonadati; Pseudomonadota; Alphaproteobacteria; Rhodobacterales; Roseobacteraceae.